Molecule: ribosomal RNA, 429 nt
Filed under: Chloroflexota bacterium
Lineage: Bacteria; Bacillati; Chloroflexota
Description: Chloroflexi bacterium partial 16S ribosomal RNA
Rfam family: Bacterial small subunit ribosomal RNA
Source: RNAcentral
UGGGGAAUAUUGCACAAUGGGCGCAAGCCUGAUGCAGCCAUGCCGCGUGUGUGAAGAAGGCCUUCGGGUUGUAAAGCACUUUCAGCGGGGAGGAAGGCGAUAAGGUUAAUAACCUUGUCGAUUGACGUUACCCGCAGAAGAAGCACCGGCUAACUCCGUGCCAGCAGCCGCGGUAAUACGGAGGGUGCAAGCGUUAAUCGGAAUUACUGGGCGUAAAGCGCACGCAGGUGGUCUGUCAAGUCGGAUGUGAAAUCCCCGGGCUCAACCUGGGAACUGCAUUCGAAACUGGCAGGCUAGAGUCUUGUAGAGGGGGGUAGAAUUCCAGGUGUAGCGGUGAAAUGCGUAGAGAUCUGGAGGAAUACCGGUGGCGAAGGCGGACCCCUGGACAAAGACUGACGCUCAGGUGCGAAAGCGUGGGGAGCAAACAGG